GGUUUGUGGCUCAAUGGCAGAGCGCUCGCCUAGCCCGUGUGAGGCCCUGGGUUUGAUCCUCAGCACCA
This 68-nucleotide transfer RNA is filed under the name Marmota monax (woodchuck). Its description in RNAcentral is "tRNA.Ala". Lineage: Eukaryota; Metazoa; Chordata; Mammalia; Rodentia; Sciuridae. The record is from RNAcentral.